This 586-nucleotide long non-coding RNA is filed under the name Vulpes vulpes (red fox). Its description in RNAcentral is "lncRNA (ENSVVUG00000014416.1)". The record is from RNAcentral. Lineage: Eukaryota; Metazoa; Chordata; Mammalia; Carnivora; Canidae.
UGAAUAACAAUAAGGCUUUUUUUACAUGGAAUAUGACUUAAUUUAGAGAAGAACUGCUGAUGCAGGGUGGCAGAUUCAUUAAACUGCCUGGCUGAUCAAUGUACUACCAUUUGGAAAAGCUAGACAAGGAACUAAAUAGCUUUUCAUAUUGGUUGUCAGACAUUCUUUUAAAUAUCUUGUUAUAUGUUAUGACAGAUGGAUGAGAAACAGCUUUCAGUAAUCAGAAGAUCAAGCCAGCAAUUUGAAUCUACCAGGAGGGGAAAAUCACCUAUGUACAACAGGUAUGUAAAUUUCAUCUGUCUUUUGAAGGACCAACAAUUCAUCAAGAGAAGAAGAAGUGGUUGUACAUUUUGGUACGCAGAAAUAGGAAGUAAACCUAAAAGCCGUGUGCCCUUAGGAACCAGUGGAGACUAAUAUUCCUGACAUUUGUUCCUCAAGACAUGAUUUUUCUCAGGUGAGGAGAGAAGCUAGACGGGCUGACACUUCUCCACCCGGAAACACUUGGAGAAGAGAAUAACGGCUCUACGCUAACAUUUUAUUUCAAUUUAUAAAUAAAAUGCCUUGGACUCUUAUUUAUGAUUUCUGG